This 455-nucleotide ribosomal RNA is filed under the name uncultured bacterium. RNAcentral's name for it is "bacterial SSU rRNA". It matches the Rfam family "Bacterial small subunit ribosomal RNA", at positions 40 to 507 of the family's 1533-position model. The record is from RNAcentral.
CGGCGUGGAUUAGGCAUGCAAGUCGCGCGACAAGGUUUGCUCAGCUUGCUAAGCGAACCGGAGGAGCGGCGAAAGGAGAGUAACGCGUGGGUAUCUACCCCCUGGUCUGGGAUAGCGGCGGGAAACUGCCGGUAAUACCGGAUAAAGUCUCCGGACCAAAGGAGCAAUUCGCCGGGGGAUGAGCCCGCGUCCUAUUAGCUUGUUGGCGGGGUAAUGGCCCACCAAGGCGAAGAUGGGUACCGGGUGUGAGAGCAUGGCCCGGCUCACUGGGACUGAGACACUGCCCAGACACCUACGGGUGGCUGCAGUCGAGAAUCUUCCGCAAUGGACGCAAGUCUGACGGAGCGACGCCGCGUGCGGGAUGAAGGCCUUCGGGUUGUAAACCGCUGUCAGAGGGGAACAAAUCUACUUCGGUAGUUGAGUGAUCCUCAGAGGAAGUACGGGCUAAGUUCGUG